CUUCUAAGAAGAAAAAUAUCUUACUGAAAAUAUGAAAAGAAGCCUGAUACGUUAAUAUGAGGGAAAAUAACCAAUAAGCUAACAAAUUUCGCAAGCUUUGUUUAGUAGCAUCUGGGACAAUAAAAACAGGUCUCAGUUCUUGUGUCAUAAUUGGAUAAGAAACGAGUGGUGCGGUUGGACCAGAUAUUGAUAGUGGUAAGUUUGUUGGUUGCUGAGCGUUCGGUGCUUGUUGGUUGGUAGGCUGAGGACCCGAACCACUCAUACUAAUAGUUUGUUGAGCCAUCGUGACAAUCGGUGGAGGAAUAGACACCGGUGCCAUGGAAACAGCAGCGAUUGAUACAGGAGUUACUGUUGCUAUGCUCACAGGAACAGUUGCAACGCUAGCUGUAACAGUUCGCAGUGUUCCAGCUGCUACAGCAGCAUUAACCAUCUGUUGAGGUGUUGGAGCUUGAGAUGGAGCAAUGCAUUUUCAUCUUCGAGAUUAAAAGCUCUAGCUUCAUUUCUGGGGAUUACAGGAUAGUAAUAGCUAGAAGUUACAGGCUGGGUUGGAUGCUGUCCUACCAGAGGUGACGUUUCGAAAUGCAAGAUAGUUUCU
Molecule: long non-coding RNA, 595 nt
Organism: Neodiprion virginianus
Lineage: Eukaryota; Metazoa; Arthropoda; Insecta; Hymenoptera; Diprionidae
Exons: 3
Source: RefSeq, a predicted model, not a curated record